RNAcentral lists this long non-coding RNA (886 nucleotides) under Gossypium raimondii (Peruvian cotton). RNAcentral's name for it is "long non-coding RNA (GRAI_LNC001531)". Lineage: Eukaryota; Viridiplantae; Streptophyta; Magnoliopsida; Malvales; Malvaceae. The record is from RNAcentral.
UUAUAGUUUGAUUUGCACGAUAUUAUUAAUCAAAAUCUGCCUAAAGCUUAAUCAAAUCCUGUUUACAGUCAUCAGAUUUGAACAACCAUGUAUCCUCAAUCAAAAGACUAGGACUUCAAAUCUAAAAUAAUUCAUUUCAUGAAUGCGCCAUAAGCUAUUAAUCUUUAUAGAAUUCACUUAAGAUGCCGAAAGGCAAAAGCAUGAACAAAAGACCUCAAGUUGAAGUAUACUGAAACCUCGUGGUUCCUUCCCUGAUUCAGAUGGUAAAUGGUAACAUCAUGAAAGGUGAGUACUUGAACCAAUCAUAUGGUAGUUUGACAUGUUUCCUUUAGUUGCUAACUUGCACUGAACCUUACAGUCAUCCAGCGAAGCAACCGUAGUAGCUAACGGAAAUCACAAGGUUAUACACACCUACCAAUACCACGCAUGCCUAUUCAAAGUUCAAACCUAAAAAGAAAAAGUACCUAGAUCAUAUAUGCAGGUUCCCAUAGGAAUAUGUGAAGAUCAAAAGGGUAACUAAGCAAAGAUGGAAUUGGAAUAGAUAUAUGGGUUCAGUAUGAGUAUGUUAUUUCAACUAUGUGUUGAUUAAACCCUGUUAUAAAGAUGUGUUCAAGGUCGAACAGACAACGAAAGAAAGGAUUAACCCGCAAAAGGCUGCUCACUUGACAAGCAUGGCAUGGAAAUCACUCACCAAUUAGUGAUUGAAAAAAAUCUCCAAUUUGCUAGUUAACUCCAGGAAUCUCUCUCUGCAUAAAACAGUGGAAGAAAAAAAUUGGAAAGAAAAGAAAAGGAAAAUAAGGAAGCAUGAAGCUGUGCAACUGCACCGAAAGGGAGUUUGAUAUGAUGUGUUAGAGCGUAAAGGUGAGCUUGAUUUAUAGAAAUGAAC